AGAGUUUGAUCCUGGCUCAGGACGAACGCUGGCGGCGUGCUUAACACAUGCAAGUCGAACGGUGAAGCCCUUCGGGGUGGAUCAGUGGCGAACGGGUGAGUAACACGUGGGCAAUCUGCCCUGCACUUCGGGACAAGCCUUGGAAACGAGGUCUAAUACCGGAUACGACCCUGGACCGCAUGGUCCGGGGUGGAAAGCUC
RNAcentral lists this ribosomal RNA (200 nucleotides) under uncultured bacterium. RNAcentral describes it as "partial 16S ribosomal RNA". It matches the Rfam family "Bacterial small subunit ribosomal RNA", at positions 8 to 210 of the family's 1533-position model. The record is from RNAcentral.